Molecule: long non-coding RNA, 560 nt
Organism: Helianthus annuus (common sunflower)
Lineage: Eukaryota; Viridiplantae; Streptophyta; Magnoliopsida; Asterales; Asteraceae
Exons: 3
Source: RefSeq, a predicted model, not a curated record
AUAUGUAAUAAGGGCAAAAGCUGGUGGCAAAAUUGCACAUCUGCAGGAGCUUCAAUGAGCGGCCUUAAAUAAGACCGUUCAAGUAUGGAUGGAAACCCGUGGAUGCUGAAAUCCAGAAGAAAGGUGUAAUGGAAGAGGCUCUCACUGUAGUCUGCAGGCCCAUCAUCUCUUGUAUCCCCUGCAUCAAUUAACACAAGAGACUACUAACGAGAUAAAUACAGAGCAUCAACAAACAAACAGAGUACAACAAAACAAUGAACACUCAACUAGUUUUCUACAAACGAAUUUGCAAGUUAUACUCCAAUAAUUCCAAGCCGAUGUGCAAAUUGUGGUUGGAACUGUGAAAAGGUAAGAGUUAGCUCAUAUUAUACCCUUUUUCUUCUAAUUAGUGUAAAGUUCACGAUUUGUUCUUAUGGUUUGUCAAAGCUACAAAUUUUAUUCUCCCAUUUUAAAACUCACAGAAAUACCCCCUUGUUUUCGAAACCUGUAACAUCAGUGGUCAUUUUGUUUAUACUAUUAAUCCCGCACGGUGUGGCAGAUGGGAAGUCAAUUGGUUUCAA